GGUCCGUUGGUCAAGCGGUUAAGACACCGCCCUUUCACGGCGGUAUCACGGGUUCGAUUCCCGUACGGAUCA
RNAcentral lists this transfer RNA (72 nucleotides) under Enterococcus sp. RNAcentral describes it as "tRNA-Glu". It matches the Rfam family "tRNA". From Rfam's summary of the family: Transfer RNA (tRNA) molecules are approximately 80 nucleotides in length. Their secondary structure includes four short double-helical elements and three loops (D, anti-codon, and T loops). Lineage: Bacteria; Bacillati; Bacillota; Bacilli; Lactobacillales; Enterococcaceae. RNAcentral also lists the same sequence under 3 other names. The record is from RNAcentral.